GGUCGGGGUCAAUUAAAUAAUUCGUGCAUAAUACACACACAAUCGGUACAAACCAUAGACCAAACCAGAGACAAGAUCAAGUGAUUAACGUAGCAUACGAUAGGUGCGAAUUAUCCCGAGCGUGUAUAAUGUCAUUAAGCCACGACUCGAGCACAACCCACCGCAGCAUCUCAAUCAAGUCAUCUAGACCAGACUAGGCUGUGGCGAUUAUUAGGACGGAGCCUCUGACCAGCAACCCGCGUUGAUAUACGGGUUUAAACGCCGGCAGCACUCGCCCAAUCCACGACUUAAUGUGCGUCGUGAUAGAUGAAAAG
RNAcentral lists this unclassified non-coding RNA (314 nucleotides) under Schistosoma mansoni. Lineage: Eukaryota; Metazoa; Platyhelminthes; Trematoda; Strigeidida; Schistosomatidae. The record is from RNAcentral.